UGAUAUUCUUACUGGGAUAGUGUAACUCAUACUUUCAUUAACUAUUUCAGAUCAAGAGAAUCAGGAUCCAGAGCCCGAUUUACAAGAGGAUUGUAAGUAGAACGUUCAGUCGUUUACUUUUAAUUUAUUUCAUUAGUUAUGAAUUGUUCUUUUAGAAUGGUUAUUCUCUUAAGUCCUAUUUGGUACUUUCAGUUAUUGUGUAAGGAAU
RNAcentral lists this long non-coding RNA (208 nucleotides) under Carica papaya (papaya). RNAcentral describes it as "long non-coding RNA (CPAP_LNC010585)". Lineage: Eukaryota; Viridiplantae; Streptophyta; Magnoliopsida; Brassicales; Caricaceae. The record is from RNAcentral.